AGCAUCCUAAUCAGAGGCUGAGCCAGCAGCCAAUUCACAUGUAAGCUGCAGUUCUUGUAGGACAAGACCAGCACUCAGUUCCGUUCUUCUGGCUUGUGAGCAACCUAACAGAGCUCUGCUAGCUGCUCAAGCAACUUCAUCAAGACCAAGGAAAGGUGGUAAGAGUCCUGGUUCAGAGCGACACAGUCAGAAGCACAGCCUUCUGGAGAGCCCCCAUAAUAAGAUCUUCUACCUGGAGU
Molecule: long non-coding RNA, 239 nt
Organism: Ochotona princeps (American pika)
Lineage: Eukaryota; Metazoa; Chordata; Mammalia; Lagomorpha; Ochotonidae
Exons: 3
Source: RefSeq, a predicted model, not a curated record